GAGCAGCGAACGGGUGAGUAGCGCGUGGGGAAUCUGCCUUUGAGCGGGGGACAACAUUUGGAAACGAAUGCUAAUACCGCAUAUCACCUUUGAACACAAGUUUUAAGUUUGAAAGAUGCAAUUGCUUCACUCAGGGAUGAUCCCGCGUUGUAUUAGCUAGUUGGUGAGGUAAAGGCUCACCAAGGCGAUGAUACCUAGCCGACCUGAGAGGGUGAUCGGCCACAUUGGGACUGAGACACGGCCCAAACUCCUACGGGAGGCAGCGGUAGGGAAUCUUCUGCAAUGGACGAAAGUCUGACCGAGCAACGCCGCGUGAGUGAAGAAGGUUUUCGGAUCGCAAAACUCUGUUGGUAGAGAAGAACGUUGGUGAGAGUGGAAAGCUCAUCAAGUGACGGUAACUACCCAGAAAGGGACGGCUAACUACGUGCCAGCAGCCGCGGUAAUACGUAGGUCCCGAGCGUUGUCCGGAUUUAUUGGGCGUAAAGCGAGCGCAGGUGGUUUAUUAAGUCUGGUGUAAAAGGCAGUGGCUCAGCC
RNAcentral lists this ribosomal RNA (534 nucleotides) under Lactococcus lactis. RNAcentral describes it as "bacterial SSU rRNA". It matches the Rfam family "Bacterial small subunit ribosomal RNA", at positions 93 to 614 of the family's 1533-position model. The record is from RNAcentral. Lineage: Bacteria; Bacillati; Bacillota; Bacilli; Lactobacillales; Streptococcaceae.